RNAcentral lists this ribosomal RNA (467 nucleotides) under uncultured bacterium. RNAcentral's name for it is "partial 16S ribosomal RNA". It matches the Rfam family "Bacterial small subunit ribosomal RNA", at positions 28 to 507 of the family's 1533-position model. The record is from RNAcentral.
GACGAACGCUGGCGGCGUGCUUAACACAUGCGAGUCGAACGGAAAGGCCCUGCUUUUGUGGGGUGCUCGAGUGGCGAACGGGUGAGUAACACGUGAGUAACCUGCCCUUGACUUUGGGAUAACUUCAGGAAACUGGGGCUAAUACCGGAUAGGAGCUCCUGCUGCAUGGUGGGGGUUGGAAAGUUUCGGCGGUUGGGGAUGGACUCGCGGCUUAUCAGCUUGUUGGUGGGGUAGUGGCUUACCAAGGCUUGACGGGUAGCCGGCCUGAGAGGGUGACCGGCCACAUUGGGACUGAGAUACGGCCCAGACUCCUACGGGAGGCAGCAGUGGGGAAUAUUGCACAAUGGGCGGAAGCCUGAUGCAGCAACGCCGCGUGCGGGAUGACGGCCUUCGGGUUGUAAACCGCUUUCGCCUGUGACGAAGCGUGAGUGACGGUAAUGGGUAAAGAAGCACCGGCUAACUACGUG